Long non-coding RNA from Populus trichocarpa (black cottonwood), 668 nucleotides. RefSeq lists it as uncharacterized. NCBI's taxonomy places the organism in Eukaryota, Viridiplantae, Streptophyta, Magnoliopsida, Malpighiales, Salicaceae. The transcript is spliced from 2 exons. The record is from RefSeq and is a predicted model, not a curated record.
UUAGACAAAGGAGCGGUUAUAAAUAGCAACGUAUAUCGCGUCUAUUCUUCCAUAGCAGGCAGCUUUAGGGUUUCUCCAGUUUAGUUAGGGUUUUUACUCCAUCUUUUCGAAAUAUCUCUCUUUCUAUCAAGCGCCGCCCUUAAGAUCGCCUUCCUUAUAAAAUGGAAGCGUUUUGAGUCAUAGCUGCGCAAUAUUAAACUUUUUUUAGGAGUUUCUCCAUAGGGUUUUCCUAUCGAGUUUCUCUGUCUUCCGUCCUGAGUUAUCUUCCGGAGGCAUUUUCUUUGUCUUUGGAUCUGUUUGCUUGUCCUGUUUUUUGAACUGCUAGUGUAUCAUAUCUGUGGUCGGUUUUGAUAAAUGCAAGGAAUUGUCUUGUAUCAUAUCUGUGGCUGUGAAGAGCUUUUGCCUCCUCAAUCCCCUGAUGUUUGAAGCUUUCUACCAAUGCCACUUUUUUCUCUUCAUUAUCUUCGUUGAGCCGUUCCCUAUCAUCUAAGAGGUUUAAUUUGUAAUGAGAUGCCAACGUCGCUGUGUUAUCCGUAGUCGUUAGCAUGAGGCCAAAUAAGAGAAGACAAUAAGUUCGAGGGUUUUUGAUAUUCCUGGAAGAGGCAGUGUUGUAAAAGUAAAAAGAAGCAAUUUGAGGCAAUAAGAGAAGACAAAAUGCAUAAUUCUCA